UGGCAAACGGGUGAGUAACGCGUGAGUAACCUGCCCUAGAGUGGGGGACAACAGUUGGAAACGACUGCUAAUACCGCAUAAGCCCACGGAUCCGCAUGGAUCUGCGGGAAAAGGAUUUAUUCGCUUUAGGAUGGACUCGCGUCCAAUUAGCUAGUUGGUGAGGUAACGGCCCACCAAGGCGACGAUUGGUAGCCGGACUGAGAGGUUGAACGGCCACAUUGGGACUGAGACACGGCCCAG
This 240-nucleotide ribosomal RNA is filed under the name uncultured bacterium. Its description in RNAcentral is "partial 16S ribosomal RNA". It matches the Rfam family "Bacterial small subunit ribosomal RNA", at positions 96 to 334 of the family's 1533-position model. The record is from RNAcentral.